UUGGCACCUCGCCCUAUCUGAUGCAUUAUAAAGAACAUCCUUGCGACCAGCAGCAACACAAACCUGGAGAAUAUGCUAGUUUUUGCUCUGUUUGUUGCUGCUGCUGCCAUCUGGCAGGCUGCGGAUGCCAAAAUAUGUCAACGUGGUUUCACGAAACACAGAUGGAGCUGUUACUGGUUUUCACCGAAAUCAUUGAUCGGAUCGUGGAUUGAAGCCAAGGAAUACUGCGAAAACAUGAAUUCUUACCUCGCCAUUAUUACGUCAGCCCCAGAAGACAACUUCAU
This is a long non-coding RNA of Gigantopelta aegis, 284 nucleotides long. RefSeq lists it as uncharacterized. NCBI's taxonomy places the organism in Eukaryota, Metazoa, Mollusca, Gastropoda, Neomphalida, Peltospiridae. The transcript has 3 exons. The record is from RefSeq and is a predicted model, not a curated record.